Molecule: long non-coding RNA, 8601 nt
Filed under: Sorghum bicolor (sorghum)
Lineage: Eukaryota; Viridiplantae; Streptophyta; Magnoliopsida; Poales; Poaceae
Description: long non-coding RNA (SBIC_LNC018413)
Source: RNAcentral
CCCACCAGCUUGCUGCAAUUCGCAGGGAGCUGGGUCGGGGCUCUUACUGGCAUCGCCGAAUCUAUCCGCAACGCUUACCUCGCCGCCAUGUUCAGUGUUCCUGAGGGAGGGCCUGUGCACGUCCAGUUAGUUAGCACGAUUUACCAGAGCAUUCAUCUUGAAGAUGAGUCCUUUUGUUGACGCCGUAGUUGCUCCGUAUUCUUCCUGCAGCAUCACCCACGGCGGCGGUGAGAGUGAGAUCAUUGUCGUUGCUGAUGGAGCACCGUCACCGACAGCACAGCCUCUGAUAGGUGUACGCGAGGCAGUGUCCAGGGCGUCGCAGGACAUCCGGCUAUCCUUCUGCUCCACAUCAUCAGUGGAAGCGAAGAUGAUCACACAGAUGAGAUGGCCAGCCUCUUGUUAUCGAAAGCAGGCGAGCUGGAUAUGGAGCAUCAUACAGGAGGUCAGGGCCCAUCUUCUGCCGUCCACAGAGCUGGAGGUGGACGAUGGCCCGUGGUGGGGUGCUCAAAUACAGGUGGUGGGCUGUUGUAAGCUAGUACAUCAGUUUGCUGUCGGCCAACUGCGCUACAGUGUAUCGGAUUGUCGGACAAUUUGCAGCAAGAUUCCCUGGGUAUGUGCCUACAAUUGACAGCAUGAGCCCUCUGAACAGCCUCAUCAUGGAGACGGUGUCAGGUUUGGAUGAAAAGCUCGCUGAGAAAUCCCGAUCGUUCCCUGACCAGAGCUUAAGGUUCCUAUUCUUGAUCAACAACUCCUACUUCAUAUGGCAGCACCUCUAUCCAAUUUCGGUUCCGGAGGUCAACAAUUUCCUCGAGGUAAAGAUCGACAACUAUGUCCAAACAUAUCUGCAAGUGUCUUGGGAACCGGUGUUGUCAUGCCUGUGCAGUUCUACGCCUCUCUGCUUUGGGAAAAACUACUCCCUUCCCUUGUACCUAAAUUUGAGUCGGAGUUUCAGAAAACCUACAAUGCCCAGAAGUUCUGGAAGGUCCCAGACCCUAAGCUGAGGAGAAGGCUGCGGGUAGCUAUUAUUGAGGAAGUCGUUUCGAGCUUUACGAAAUACUUGGAGUAUAAUGAUAUCAUCCCCUCAAGAAUCACUCCCCAUGAUCUCAUGGACAUGUUGCAAGAGCUAUUCGAAGGGUGAACAAGUACGCAAAGAGCCAAAGAAGGAAUGAACUUGUCACAGGUGCAAUUGUUUAUGUACUAUACGUGUUUAGAUUUUUUUUGCUUGUUGCAUCAAAUGACUUUACAGUGGACAUAUUAACAAACAGCUUGAAUGAACGGCUGCUGGAGGUGUUUGUGCAACCAUAUUACAAACAAACAGCACACCUAGCCAAGUGUGAAAUUAUAACCAAGUAUCUAUACAAGCACACAAAGACACGAGCUGUUUUACAGUGGUUUGGAAAGUACCAUGGUACCACUACGUACUUUUAUCUUUUUAUUUUCUUAGCUAAUUAAUUGAGGAAGAUUAUUUUCAAAGCUUGAUUCAUGAAGAGGUGGUUCUCAAUGCUGGGCGUCAGCUGGGUUCUCCUGUAACUCAGGGGUUUGCCCUUUUAAUAAAGCAUCUGUAGGGGCCUCGGCCCCUCCAGUAUUCUAAAAAAAAAAAGCAUCCUCGAGUUGAGAUUGAGACACAGUGGCCUGGUGAGACAUGGAGCUGGAUCCGAGCUCCAUGUAGGCUACAUUGUUAAAAUUUAAAUUUGUCAGAAUUGAGGCUAGUGCUGCAAAGGCCAAAUUUGUAAAUAGCCUACAACACAUGAAAGAAACAAUCAGGAGGCCGUAUUUAGUUUUCAAAAAAUUUUAAGAUUCCACGUCACAUCGAAUCUUGCGGCACAUGCAUGGUGCAUUAAAUAUACAUGAAAACAAAAACUAGUUGCACAGUUCAUCUGUAAAUCGCGAGACGAAUCUUUUAAGUCUAGUUACUCUAUGAUUGAACAAUGUUUGUUAAAUAAAAAUAAAAGUGCUAUCAGUGUUGAAAUCCAAAAUUUUUGCGAACUGAACAAGGCCUUAGUUCUUUACCUAAAAAGUUUUUGGGUACUAUAGUACUUUCAUUUUUAUUUGAAAAUUAUUGUCCAAUUAUGGACUAAUUAACUAGGCUUAAAAGAUUCGUAUUAUAAAUUACAGACAAACUGUGUAAUUAGUUAUUUAUUUUAUCUAUAUUAAAUACUUCAUGUACGUGCCGCAACAUUCAACGUGGUGGAGAAUUUAAAAAGUUUUUGAAUUCUGGGUGAAACUGAACAAGGCCUUAUAUUCUCAUCAGGCCGUCUGAGAAGUUUGGAUCAAUGGUCCUUAGCUUUGCGCCAUCUACACGGUAUCACAACGCGUCUUCCUGGAAGAACGCUGUUGGGAAUAUAAUGGUCGUCUAUAUUGCCAACGCGUCUUUGGAAAAAGUUUGUGCAUGCUGCCACUGCCAGCUAGCCACAUGGUUUCCAGUAGCCUCGCUAGCUAGCACUUGAGUUCUUCUUCCCCAAACCCGUGUAAGUCAACGGAGAUCAAAUUGCCGGUUGCUAGCAGUCAGCAAUUCAGCGCCCAAGCCGUCGUCGUUCGACGCAAGAAACACCAACAACGACCUCGCUGUGGCUGUGGCUGCACCGCCGCCACUCCUAGUCCUUAGUUUUGAUCCGUCCUCCUCCGCCAACCACAAGCAGACGACCGGCACCGGCUUCAGCUCCAACACAGUUGUUAGCAGCUCCUCAUCAGGUACCUGCGUCCAAAUUUGCAUUACAAGUUUACAAUAACCCUUUUCGCGCCAAAAAAAAAAAGUUUACAACAUCCCAGAUACACACACGUUGCAGGGCCAUCGCCGGCCCACCUUGACAUUGUACCUUCGAGCCCAUUUUACUCCUUGCAGCAUGGUUCGUUCACCAUUCUUGCCAUCCUCUCCUGUUGUCGUAAUCUGAGUAACUUGGCUCUGGAAUUUAGCAUGUUUCUUAUGAUCCCAACAACUAUUGCCUUUUCUGGCAGGGCAGAAUUCACAUGUGUGCAUAACAGGGCAGAACAGAGUAAGAUCGAGAAUGAGGGCAAAAUAAAUACUCAUUUGCAAAAUCAGAACGACCAAAGUUACAGCUUCUACUAUUGCUGCAUAUAUACUGCAACGCUUUUAAAACUGCAUGGGUAACGCUUUCAAAUGCUUUUAAUUUUUUUUGUAAAUAAAGAAGACCAAAUGAAUUUCAUUCACUGCUGCUAUUACAAGGCAGGGGCAGGGUGUACAGAUCAGAUGUCUGCUGUUCCGGACUUUUUCUUAUGUGAAACUGCUGUUCCAGAUACUCGACAUAAAGAAAAAGGUUCAAUUUGGGGAAGGGCUACUAACAAACUUUUUUUUUGAUCAAUUUGGGGGAGAACUACUAACAAACUUGCGGUGCUUCAGAUUUUUAUUACGAAACAGCAUGGAAACAGCAACAUUUUAUUACGAAACACAAGCAUAAUAGUGGACACAAAUGGAAGCAGGAUUAACAAAGGAAUGCUACACAUAUGGCAACUUGCCUUCUAAUCUUCUAUGGUGCACUAGUUGGUCAUCCUUCGAAUAACUCUCCCAGCAUCUUCUCUACCUCCAUGGGAGUGAAUCCUGGGGGUGUGGCAAUCUGGUCAUCCUCCCAGAACUGUGUAAACACUGGAGUAACUUUAUCGACAAUGGCUUUCCUCAGCCUCCUUCUCAUCUCAGGGUCUGGGACCUUCCAGAGCUUUUGGCCGGAGUAAGUCUUCUGAAACUUUGACUCAAACUUUGGUAUAGGAGACGAGUAUGUAGUGAAGCAACGAGGUGUAGCAGAAUCCUGCAAGCAUUUCAACACCGGUUCCCAAGACACAUGGAGAUAACGAUUGAUGUAGUAAUUGAUAUCGUAGGUGAAGGAUACCAUAUUGAAACCCAAACUCUGAAUUGUCUGUAACUCUUGCAACAAGUAGUGGAAAUUUUUUUUUUGAAAAAGACUGGAGGGACCUUGGCCCCUACAGCAAAGAUAUAUUAAAGAAAGGAAUACAGUUAUGUACAAAAACUUUUGAAAGAAGAAGAGCAGACAACUAUCUUAAGAAACAAAAAAGGAAACAAAAAAGAUCAAACUAAGAGCAAAAACUAGCUUGUUUGUAAGGCAUGAGUCCAUUGAUCAAAAUAAAGUGAUAAUCCUUCCUUGAAAUUGUUGAUCAAGAAUAGGAACCUGAGGCUCUCAUCUGGGAAGGACCCCGGGGAUGAAUUUGUGGAAGGCUCUCUCUCUAGUGAAGAGACCAUCUGUGUGAUGAGGUUGGUCACAUGGUUCAAGUUUUUGUUCUCCGACACAAACUCACCGCGGAGAACCGCGGCAUGUAGAAUGCGAUUCACUGACUUGCAAUUGGCCCACAGCACCUUGGUGUAGCUUACUAUGGAGUGUGAGACCUUGUGAAUGUCACAUGAACUGCUAUCGUCUGUCCAGCUCCAAGCCAUGAUAUUAUUCCUCAUCUCAACAGCUGUAUCCCAUAUGGCCUCAUCCAACUUGGUCAGAUCUGCUGACAAGAGUUCUCUCAUCUUGUCGUUAGAACAUUCUUCUUGUACAUAGCAGGACAAUAAUGACAGGACAUGUUGCGAGGCCAUGGAAAGAGCGUCAUGCAUGUCUAUCAGUACCUGGAGCUUCUGAGCCACUACCCCCGGCCAAUGGGUGGUUUUUGCCACAGCAAUGUCAACGAAAGGCAGCAUCUUGAGCACAAUUGCUUGGACAAGCUGUGCAAAUUCAGAAGCAGAUGGUUGCUUGCUCGUUCUUCCUUCAUCUUGGUCCUGCCUCUGUCUGGACCAUCCAUCAAGGCUUGUAAGGAUGGAUCCACGGAUCUUGUGUAGAGCCAGGAUCCAGCUCUGGACAAGAAAUUGGAAGCCGUGCGUGGCAACGACGCUCCCUGAAGAUUCAUGUGUUCCGGGGGCGAGGUGGAUAACCCAGGGGACGUCCAGCUCCAAGAGCCACCUCUCCAAGGCACUGCGAUUAUCGCCACGGAAUUGCACCGCCAGGCCCUUGAGAUGCUCGAGCUUCUCCACCCUGUCUUCCUCGAGCUCCUGAUCUACAUCUAUAUCAAGCUCCUCCUCCGCGUUUUCUUCCAUGGGCGCCGUGGACGGAGCCAUGGAUGCAUGGAUAUCACGAGGCUGCGCUUCUCCGUGUGAAUUGAAUGGGGUGAUGGUGCUGGCGGUGUUGGUUGUACCAAAACUGCUGAUGUAGCCGCCGGUAGGCCGCUGCCAACCUCCUCCGCCGUCGGCGUCGCCCUCGCCACCGGUAGGCCGCAGCCGACCGCCUCUGCCGUCGGCGUCGUCCUCGCUGCUGCCCCUAGAUCUCAAUCUCUUCCAUGCUCUCCGCCAGAUUGAGGCCACCGCCAUUGGAGCACUGCUAGUUGCAAUCUAUCCACAGAUUCAAUUUGUGAUGGACGCACGCACACGGCUGUUACUGGAAUCAAUCAAGCAAUGCAUUCUCGAGAGGCGAUGCUAAUGGAAUUUCACUUUCAUGCUUCAAUGUGUGGAUCCCUGACUUUUUGACCAGCACGCACGCGGUUGUUGAUCGUAGACCACCACUCGGUUUGUCACUUUCUCGUCAUCUAGCUUUGUCAUAAAUUAAAUUUCUUUUUAAGGGUGUUUUUAGACUGCUCUGCUUCACGUUUUUUUAGCUCUGCUUCACGUUUUUUAGCUAAACGGUUUAAGUUCCACGCACUCAGUUCGAGAAAAAAAGGGGUGAAAUUAUGAGAGCACCUAGAGAAGUAUUCCACAAACUCUAAUUUUUUGUUGACGGUCCUUAACAUCAACAUUAUACUUUCAAUUAAUGCACAACAUAAUGGCAAAAAGAUUAUUAUAGCAUAGUUAUAGGGAUUAUUCUAAUAAAUUCUACGAGUUGUGUUGCUCAUUUAUUUUACAGAUUAUUGAUACUUCAUCACAUAAAAAGUACCAUAAAUGAUGAAACAAAGCACACCUUUGUAAAGAGCUCGUCGAGACGAUCAAAACGGACAUAUCACUUGCUAUAUUUGGAGUCCGAACAAGAGAGUCCCCAAUAGUUACGACCAAGAAUCACCAAACAAGAGUUUUAUGGACUAACAUGAUAAUUUCGACAGCUGUUGUUGGCGUCUUUUUUUUCUUUUCUCUGUGUGGCGCGGGUUGGGGGCUCAGUGUCCGGACGCAUUGUUGACGUUGGAUGUCCAGGCGCUAGCAGUACCCAUUAGAAAGUUGUAAUCAGUAAUCGGACUUGGCACUUCGUAGCAUAUGCAUGGACCAAACAAGAAUUGAGGCUAGUGCUGCAAAAGCUAAAUUUGUAAAUAACCUUCAACACAUGAAAGAAACAAUAAGUAGAAAUAGGCUUUGUUUAGUUCCUUUUAAGUUUUUUUUUGGUACCGUAGCACUUUCGUUUUUAUUUGAAAAUUAUUGUCCAAUCAUAGACUAACUAGGCUCAAAAGAUUCGUCUUGUAAAUUAUAGGCAAACUGUGUAAUUAGUUAUUUAUUUUAUCUAUAUUUAAUGCUUUAUGCAUGUGCCGUAAGAUUUGAUGUGAUGAAAAAUCUUAAAAAGCUUUUGGAUGGCCUUGUUUAGUUCCAUUUUUUUUUGUAAAAUGAACACUGUAGCACUUUCGUUUGUAUUUGACAAAUAUUAUCCAAUCAUGGACUAACUAGAUUCAAAAGAUUCGUCUCACAAAUUAUAUACAAACUAUGCAAUUAGUUAUUAUUUAUAUUUAUAUUUAAUACUCUAUGCAUGUGCCGCAAGAUUCAAUGUGAGCAAUUUGAAAAAUUUUGCAAAAUUUUUGGAAACUAAACAAGGCCUAAACAAGGCCUUAUAUUCUCAUCAGGCCGUCUGGGAGAGGUUUGGAUCAUGGUCGUUAGCUUGCCCAUCUACACGGUAUCACAACGCGUCUUCCUGAAAGAACGCUGUUGGGAAUAUAAUGGUCGUCUAUAUUGCCAACGCGUCUUUGGAAAAAGUUUGUGCAUGCUGCCACUGCCAGCUAGCCACAUGGUUUCCAAUAGCCUCGCUAGCACUUGAUGAGUUCUUCCCCAAACCCGUGUAAGUCAACGGAAAUCAAAUUGCCGGUUGCUAGCUUCAGCAAUCAGCGAUUCAGCAUGGAUGGUGGCAGUGGCGGCACAGCCGCUGGUAUGCUGGAUCAUACCUCGGAUUCCCCAUCCAGCAGCAGGCUUCGAUGUCGUGUGUCUCUCUCGGCGCCCAAGCCUGUGUGUCUCUUGGCGCCCAAGCCGUCGUCGUUCGACGCAAGAAACACCAACAACGACCUCGCUCUAGCUAUGGCUGCACCGCCGCCACUCCUUAGUUUUGAUCCGUCCUCUUCCGCCAACCACAAGCAGACGACCGGCACCGGCUUCAGCUCCAACACAGUUGUUAGCAGCUCCUCAUCAGGUACCAUAGUCUCGACCACCAACACAUCUAGAUCUAGCGGCUCUAGCCUGUACUUGUACUUGUUCGAUGACGACGACGACGGUACACGUACCCUCAACAAGCCCCAUGAAGAAACGGAGAAGAAGCGGAUGAACAACAUCAAGAGCCUUGUCCAGGAAUUCUUUGGUGCGUCGUCGUCGUCGUCAGCGAAUUGCACAGCUGACGGUGGGGACAUGAGUGUCCUGGAGAGGUGGUUCACAGAGCUGGGCAUCGACUGGGUGCUCCACAUCUCUGAUGUUGAUGCAUCUAUAGCCGUGAUACGGCCCGACUAUACUUUGGAUCCACGAAGCUGGAUCCGGGCUCUCAACCAAAUCAUGGAAACCAUCCGUCUCACCUCGUCAUUCUUUUCUGGCCGUGGAUUUGUGGGCAUGCCUAGUAUUUGGGAGGAGGAGGAGGAGGAGGAGGAGGAGGAGGAGGAGGACGAAGAAGAAGAAGAAGAAGAAGAAGAAGAAGAAGAAGAAGAAGAAGAAGAAGAAGAAGAAGAAGAAGAAGAAGAGUGGUUUUUCCGAAAAUCGGAAAGAGAGUUAUCGAAUUCCAGAAAAAAACAAAUACAGAAACAAGAAAAGGCAGAGGAGGUUGAGAGCUGCAUUCCAGAUCAGUUUCAGUUUGCACGGUUUAUCCAAGAAACCAUGCUGAGAAUGCUUGCUUUUGUUGAUUUCCUAGUUGCUCUGGAUCCUAAUACCAUUUGUGAAUUUUCUGUUGCCAAUGGCAGUGGGGUGCCAGCACCAGCACUAUACCAGAAGAUCAGUAUCUUGCUGCGUGUGCUCGACGCUCUGUCCAAUGCCUGUUUCGAGGUCGAGGUGCUACUCCUUUCGAUGCCCUCAGAAAUCGAAGAGGUUAAACGGAUUCGGGGUGAGAUAAUCAACCUCUUGUAUGCCAAGGACAAUAAGGCGACUGAGGCCGUAUGGGGCACAAUGGAGGAGAUCUGGGCUCUGAUCAUGGACUCCAUGGAGGAGGACGGCCAAGACUCCGUGAUGACUACGCAGGGAUCGUCGGACAUUCACAAGCUCACUCUGUCUGUAACCGACCACAUCAGGUACCUGUGGGCUAACUACUGGUCAGUGACCUCAGUUGUGUUCUGCCUUGGUAAUGGUAAGCAGCAUGUCACUGAGACUGCUGGGAACACUAUCACUAAUCCUUUAGCCAAUCUGACAACUGAGAUGGUCUCCUGUCUAGAUGAAAAACUUGCCGAAAUGUCCCAAUCCUUCGCAGACCAGGGCAUCAAAUACCUAUUCUUGAUCAACAA